Molecule: ribosomal RNA, 253 nt
Filed under: uncultured bacterium
Lineage: Bacteria
Description: partial 16S ribosomal RNA
Rfam family: Bacterial small subunit ribosomal RNA
Source: RNAcentral
UACGAAGGGGGCUAGCGUUGUUCGGAAUUACUGGGCGUAAAGCGCGCGCAGGCGGUCUUUCAAGUCAGGGGUGAAAGCCCAGAGCUCAACUCUGGAAUUGCCUUUGAGACUGGGAGACUUGGGUAUGGGAGAGGUGAGUGGAAUUCCGAGUGUAGAGGUGAAAUUCGUAGAUAUUCGGAAGAACACCAGUGGCGAAGGCGGCUCACUGGCCCAUUACCGACGCUCAGGCGCGACAGCGUGGGGAGCAAACAGG